This is a non-coding RNA of Malus domestica (apple), 1926 nucleotides long. The record is from RefSeq and is a predicted model, not a curated record. NCBI's taxonomy places the organism in Eukaryota, Viridiplantae, Streptophyta, Magnoliopsida, Rosales, Rosaceae.
UAACACAAUAUACCUUUAGGGGCGCGUAGCGCCCGUGAUGCAAAAAUGCCUCUCGCAUGCACGUUAGUGCAUGCGGAGAGGCUAGUAUAUAUAGAGGGAGAAGGCCAAAUAGGUGAAGCAUUUCAAAAUGCCAAGAAAGUCCCUUUUUUGUAUUCACAACCAAACCCAAAAAAUUUCAAAAAAUGAGGAUAAACUGGUAAAAAAACAAUAACCACACAGAAAUAUGUAUUGAAAACCCACCACGUUCAGGACGUUCAGUUUUCUGCGUAGCAGUUUUCAAACCCCCCACAACCUUUUAUCAUAACUUCUCCACUUCAUUUGUUCAGUUACAAAAUUUUGAUCUCCGUACAUCGAUCAACCUCCUCUCCCAAUUCGAGCACUACUUCUCUAUUCUUUCUAAUGCUUCGUCUUCGUUUCGGAUCAGCUUGCUCUGACUCAGCCACUCCCGCUGGUUCGGAACCACCACCACGGUUGCGUACCGGAAGGACGGAGGAGAUACGUUUUUCAUUGAAGAAAGCAUUUCGUGGACGCCCCUCAGUGUAUUCGAUAAGGUUUCUCAAGCUCUUUACAACGCCGGCCUCGGCUAACUGUCUCUGGUUCAAGUACCAAGUUCAAUCCUAAACCUAACUUUUUUUCUUUCAUUUCUCAAUUUUCUCCAUCCAAGCAAUAAAAAAUUGAACUAUGUUUUCAGAUUAUUGAUCCCAAUUUGUGAAAUCGCUUCAAAUUUUGAAUUUUUUAUUAUGUGUUUUUGGGAUUUUAGGCUGCUAGCAUAGGGUCUAUAAUUUCAGGGAAGGAUUGUUGCAGCUGAAACUGAAUCAUCACGUUCAGGGAUGGAUGUUGUUUUGAUCAGGGAUUCCCCUCAUUGGGUUUUCAUUACAGUUUGGAUUUACAGUAAAUGCAAUUCCGGUUCCUAAAGCUCAAAGAGAAGGUCUGCAAAGUGCACAGGUUCAUAUGUAAUCCCUCCUAUCUGUAAUGGAAGUUUGUAGGGUUUAUGCUUUGGUUUAUAGUGAUGGAAAUAAAGUUGUUGCGAUGAAGACCUCUCUCACUCUCUGAGGCCAGAACGGAGUGAAACGGUAUUGGAUUGAUUUUAGCGAGUGGGUUUUUUUGUUAACGUGGAUCAGAUUCGGACCUUUGUGUCAAUCGAAGUCAUUGCUGGUUGGUUAGCCGAGGAUCUGUGCGUGCAACCUCAUUGGUUAGACAGGCCUUGGUGUUUGCUGUUUGGGCAAUGUUUAAUCCAUUGCCAGUGGUGCACUACUUUGUGAUACCAUGGAUGAGCAGGAAAGUAAAUGCAAGAGUUUGAUUGCAUAAUUACACGGAAAAAUAAGUUUAUAUAAUUUUAACUAUUCUGAAGUGAAUCUUCUACUGGUCCGGUUCAAUGUUGUCCCAGUUUACAUGGGACAAUGCAACACUUUAUGACACUCUUCUUAUCGGCUGUAUAUGGAUCAUCGUUGACUUAUGGAUUAAUAUGCUUAUGUAGAUGUAUACAUAUGUUUUGAUUCCUGUUAAACUUUGUUUGUAUUAUUUUUGUGGUUGGCAUUGAUAGUAGCUUUGAAAACAUUCAUAUUUAUCCAUAGGACCUUGAGGGAGGGUGAUCCAAUUUUCAGAGAAGAACUAAGUUUUUCUCAGAGAGGACGAAUUCUACAGCUUUUUAAUUUCAAAGACAAUUCCAGCCCCAUUGGAAUACAAAAAGUUUUCAACUGGAGUUCAACAUAUCAAGUAUGGAGAGAAAUGAUAGGAGCAAUAUAGCCAAAGUUGUCAUCUUCUUAAAUAAAUUGUUCUCAAUGUUAGGAUGUCUUUUUCCUCCGUUUGGGGUUUUGUCCUACCUGGUAUGAACAAUGUUUUAACUCUAUCAAAUAUUCUCCCUCAACUUUUGUAAACUUUGAAUUGCUCUCUGUAUUAUGUGACAUGAUGAUCGCUUUUCUUUAA